RNAcentral lists this long non-coding RNA (387 nucleotides) under Capsicum annuum. RNAcentral describes it as "long non-coding RNA (CANN_LNC011201)". Lineage: Eukaryota; Viridiplantae; Streptophyta; Magnoliopsida; Solanales; Solanaceae. The record is from RNAcentral.
AAAUAUAAUAAAACCAAUUUUAAAAAAUAGAUCAUUUAGAUUAUCUUAAAGUUUUAAUAUUAUAUAUACUUAAAAACAUAGAAAUUAUGGAUAUUAAGAAAAUAAUAUUAGAAGAAAUAAUAAACUAUGAAAAUGAAACUACCAAUUAUCUAGAACAGUUAUACGAAGAAAUUUACCCAGAAGAAUAUUAUUCAGACUAAAAACAUGUUAGAAUAUAUUAGACAAACUAGAGAAAAUCAAGAAAAUCUAAAUAAUGAAAUUAGUUAUAGAAACCGAAUUAGAAAAAUAAUGGAAGACCUAAAAGAAAAAUUAGCAUGGAUAGAAAAAACCUUAGAAAAUUUAGAUAAAAGUACAUGUGAUAGUGUAUAUAAUUUAAAAAACUCACUA